RNAcentral lists this long non-coding RNA (202 nucleotides) under Sorghum bicolor (sorghum). RNAcentral describes it as "long non-coding RNA (SBIC_LNC006191)". Lineage: Eukaryota; Viridiplantae; Streptophyta; Magnoliopsida; Poales; Poaceae. The record is from RNAcentral.
GAGUAGACUAGCGCUAGCAUUGGAUGGAUUAGUGUGGAGGAUCCCAGGGCCCAUGCUAGAAACUAUGAUGGCGAACAUGGGAACAAAAUUUGGUGGAUUGGCAGCUGGGGCGUCGUCAUCACCUGUAUAGAGCCUGAGGACAUGGCGUCGCUGGACAUCCCAUAGGGGUAGAUGAUCAACAGCACCGACGUGGUCAGUGGCA